This 253-nucleotide ribosomal RNA is filed under the name uncultured bacterium. Its description in RNAcentral is "partial 16S ribosomal RNA". It matches the Rfam family "Bacterial small subunit ribosomal RNA", at positions 524 to 776 of the family's 1533-position model. The record is from RNAcentral.
UACGAAGGGGCCUAGCGUUGCUCGGAAUUACUGGGCGUAAAGCGCACGUAGGCGGACUUUUAAGUCGGGGGUGAAAUCAUGGAGCUCAACUCCAGAACUGCCUUCGAAACUGAAAGUCUUGAGUCCGGGAGAGGUGAGUGGAACUGCGAGUGUAGAGGUGAAAUUCGUAGAUAUUCGCAAGAACACCAGUGGCGAAGGCGGCUCACUGGCCCGAUACUGACGCUGAGGUGCGAAAGCGUGGGGAGCAAACAGG